AGAAAAUCCAAGUAUUUCUUGAAAAAUCAUUCACUGUAGUUGAAAAGAAUCGAUAACCAUAUAUGGAUGUAAUCAAGCACCCUAAAUAUCCACAUGAACUAAUUGAAAUGAAACAAAAGCAUGAGAAACACUAUGUGUGAAAGAUAAUUUUGUUUGCUUUGCUUUGCAUAGUGACAAAUGUCAUAAACAUGUAUAUCAACAUUACAAGGAAUAGAAGAGUAAAGCCUAUUUAAAGCUAAAAUUCUUUAAUGAGAAGGGUGACCAAAUUUGUAAUGCCAUAGGCUAGCAAGAGGAAAAGAAGGAACAAUGCUAAUGAUAGAAGCAAUUGAAGUGAUGAAAUUGGGUGAUGGAUUGACCAAGAAAUACAAUCCUUCAUUUCAGCUAAACUAAUCAUCCUCCAAGUACUUAACUCCUGAAUGAAAUAAGAAUUAUGAUGAAAUAGUAAGCUACAGCUCAAGGAAGAAAUGAGUUUAGUUACUGAAAUUAGAUUGAAAGUAGAGGAUAAAAUAUAGAGAACAUCUAACAGGUAAAAAUAAGGUGUAAGAUGUAUAGUUCUAGAAAUGGUUGCCACAACAUGAGUACCAUUAGGUAACUUGAUUGAAAAAGGUUUAACUUAUUUAUAAGUUGUAAAGACUGAUAGAGUAAAGCAUAUAUGGUCAGUAGCCCAAGCAUCAAGUAUCCAUAUAUGUGAAUUGACAUUGGUAAAGAGAGAAAUAAGGUUACCUAUAGGAAUGUUAGAAGUGGCAGUAAGUGUAAGAGAAAUGUUACCAUUGUGCUGUGUGGCAAGAUGAUUAACCCAAUGAGAUUGAGAUGAUGGAGAAAGAUGCUGUCAAAGAAUGAUCUUGAAUUAAAGUCAAUAGCUUCUGGUACUUUUUUGAGAUUAUAGAUCUCUUCCUGUAGAUCAAAGAUUCAAAUGAUAUCUUCUUGUGAAAACCUAUCUUUCAAAUCACUCCAUGCAUCCACUAUCUUAUCAAUCCAAAGUACACUCUGUGCAAUAGAGGGAGAAAGAGACCUUGUAAUCUAAGAAAUAACCAUUGUAUUGCACCUCUUCCAUGUAAAAGAUAUCGGAUCUAUCCUUAUAUGCGUAGGAAGAGAUCUAUCGAUAAAUUGCAG
Molecule: unclassified non-coding RNA, 1113 nt
Filed under: Hevea brasiliensis (rubber tree)
Lineage: Eukaryota; Viridiplantae; Streptophyta; Magnoliopsida; Malpighiales; Euphorbiaceae
Source: RNAcentral